Small nuclear RNA from Schistocerca americana (American grasshopper), 107 nucleotides. The record is from RefSeq and is a predicted model, not a curated record. NCBI's taxonomy places the organism in Eukaryota, Metazoa, Arthropoda, Insecta, Orthoptera, Acrididae.
GUACUCGCUUCGGCGGUACAUAUACUAAAAUUGGAACGAUACAGAUAAGAUCAGCAUGGCCCCUGCGCAAUGAUGAUACACAAAAUCGUGAAGGUUUCCAAUUUUUU